ACGCACGCUGGCGGCGUGCUUCACCCCUGCCAGUCGCACGGAAAGGCCCUGCUUUUGUGGGGUGCUCGAGUGGCGAACGGGUGAGUAACACGUGAGUAACCUGCCCUUGACUUUGGGAUAACUUCAGGAAACUGGGGCUAAUACCGGAUAGGAGCUCCUGCUGCAUGGUGGGGGUUGGAAAGUUUCGGCGGUUGGGGAUGGACUCGCGGCUUAUCAGCUUGUUGGUGGGGUAGUGGCUUACCAAGGCUUUGACGGGUAGCCGGCCUGAGAGGGUGACCGGCCACAUUGGGACUGAGAUACGGCCCAGACUCCUACGGGAGGCAGCAGUGGGGAAUAUUGCACAAUGGGCGGAAGCCUGAUGCAGCAACGCCGCGUGCGGGAUGACGGCCUUUGGGUUGUAAACCGCUUUCGCCUGUGACGAAGCGUGAGUGACGGUAAUGGGUAAAGAAGCACCGGCUAACUACGUG
Molecule: ribosomal RNA, 467 nt
Filed under: uncultured bacterium
Lineage: Bacteria
Description: partial 16S ribosomal RNA
Rfam family: Bacterial small subunit ribosomal RNA
Source: RNAcentral